GAUGAACGCUGGCGGCAUGCCUAACACAUGCAAGUCGGGCGGGAAAAGGGGGCUUCCGUGGGGGUCGGGCGGGGGACGGGUGAGAAACUGCCCUGGGGAGGGGAACAAGAGCGGGAAAAGGCCGGUAAAAGCCCGCUAGCUGAGGAGCAAAAGGUGGGAACAACCAGGGGGGGGGCUUGCGUAUGAUUUGCUAGUUGGUGAGGCAAUAGCUUACCAAGGAGGUGAGCAGGAGCUGGUCCGAGAGGAGGAUCAGCCACACUGGGACGGAGACACGGACCAGAGUCCUACGGGAGGCAGGAGUGGGGAAUUUUCCGCAAUGGGCGAAAGGCUGACGGGGCAAUGCCGCGUGGAGGUAGAAGGACCACGGGUCGUGAACUGCUUUUCACGGAGAAGAAGCAAUGACGGUACCUGGGGAAUAAGCAUCGGCUAACUCUGUG
This 437-nucleotide ribosomal RNA is filed under the name uncultured bacterium. Its description in RNAcentral is "partial 16S ribosomal RNA". It matches the Rfam family "Bacterial small subunit ribosomal RNA", at positions 28 to 507 of the family's 1533-position model. The record is from RNAcentral.